UGACGGUACCACUUGAAUAAGCUCCGGCUAACUACGUGCCAGCAGCCGCGGUAAUACGUAGGGAGCAAGCGUUAUCCGGAUUUACUGGGUGUAAAGGGCGUGUAGGCGGGACAUCAAGUCAGAUGUGAAAGCACGAGGCUCAACUUCGUGUCUGCAUUUGAAACUGACGUUCUUGAGUGUUGGAGAGGCUAACGGAACUCCUAGUGUAGCGGUGAAAUGCGUAGAUAUUAGGAAGAACACCAGUGGCGAAGGCGGUUAGCUGGACAAUAACUGACGCUGAGGCGCGAAAGCGUGGGUAGCAAACAGGAUUAGAUACCCUG
This 320-nucleotide ribosomal RNA is filed under the name uncultured bacterium. RNAcentral's name for it is "bacterial SSU rRNA". It matches the Rfam family "Bacterial small subunit ribosomal RNA", at positions 470 to 789 of the family's 1533-position model. The record is from RNAcentral.